RNAcentral lists this unclassified non-coding RNA (236 nucleotides) under plant metagenome. RNAcentral describes it as "partial contains small subunit ribosomal RNA, internal transcribed spacer 1, and 5.8S ribosomal RNA". The record is from RNAcentral.
AUUCCGUAGGUGAACCUGCGGAAGGAUCAUUACUGAGUGAGGGCCCCUCGGGGUCCAACCUCCCACCCGUGUUUAACGAACCUUGUUGCUUCGGCGGGCCCGCCUCACGGCCGCCGGGGGGCAUCUGCCCCCGGGCCCGCGCCCGCCGAAGCCACCUGUGAACGCUGUCUGAAGUAUGCAGUCUGAGACAAUUAUUAAAUUAAUUAGAACUUUCAACAACGGAUCUCUUGGUUCCG